GACGAACGCUGGCGGCGUGCUUAAUACAUGCAAGUCGAGCGAGAAGCCACCGCUCCGUAAGGAGUGGUGGUGGAAAGCGGCGAACGGGUGAGUAACACGUGGGUAACGUGCCCCGAACACUGGGAUAACGGCGGGAAACCGCCGCUAAUACCGGAUAACCCUGCAGCGUCGCAUGAUGCAACAGGCCAAGCCCCGACGGUUCGGGAUCGGCCCGCGGCGUAUCAGCUUGUUGGUGGGGUAACGGCCUACCAAGGCAGUGACGCGUAGCUGGCGUGAGAGCGCGACCAGCCACACUGGGACUGAGACACGGCCCAGACUCCUACGGGAGGCAGCAGUAGGGAAUCUUGCGCAAUGGGCGAAAGCCUGACGCAGCGACGCCGCGUGAGGGAUGAAGGCCUUCGGGUUGUAAACCUCUUUCAGCGGGGACGAAGCCUCACGGUGACGGUACCCGCAGAAGAAGGUCCGGCCAACUACGUGCCAGCCGCCGCGGUAA
RNAcentral lists this ribosomal RNA (493 nucleotides) under uncultured bacterium. RNAcentral's name for it is "partial 16S ribosomal RNA". It matches the Rfam family "Bacterial small subunit ribosomal RNA", at positions 28 to 523 of the family's 1533-position model. The record is from RNAcentral.